This 425-nucleotide ribosomal RNA is filed under the name Escherichia coli. RNAcentral's name for it is "bacterial SSU rRNA". It matches the Rfam family "Bacterial small subunit ribosomal RNA", at positions 1 to 422 of the family's 1533-position model. RNAcentral also lists the same sequence under 1 other name. Lineage: Bacteria; Pseudomonadati; Pseudomonadota; Gammaproteobacteria; Enterobacterales; Enterobacteriaceae. The record is from RNAcentral.
AAAUUGAAGAGUUUGAUCAUGGCUCAGAUUGAACGCUGGCGGCAGGCCUAACACAUGCAAGUCGAACGGUAACAGGAAGCAGCUUGCUGCUUCGCUGACGAGUGGCGGACGGGUGAGUAAUGUCUGGGAAACUGCCUGAUGGAGGGGGAUAACUACUGGAAACGGUAGCUAAUACCGCAUAAUGUCGCAAGACCAAAGAGGGGGACCUUCGGGCCUCUUGCCAUCGGAUGUGCCCAGAUGGGAUUAGCUUGUUGGUGGGGUAACGGCUCACCAAGGCGACGAUCCCUAGCUGGUCUGAGAGGAUGACCAGCCACACUGGAACUGAGACACGGUCCAGACUCCUACGGGAGGCAGCAGUGGGGAAUAUUGCACAAUGGGCGCAAGCCUGAUGCAGCCAUGCCGCGUGUAUGAAGAAGGCCUUCGGG